RNAcentral lists this ribosomal RNA (493 nucleotides) under uncultured bacterium. RNAcentral describes it as "partial 16S ribosomal RNA". It matches the Rfam family "Bacterial small subunit ribosomal RNA", at positions 29 to 523 of the family's 1533-position model. The record is from RNAcentral.
AUUGAACGCUGGCGGCAUGCUUUACACAUGCAAGUCGAACGGUAACAGGUUAAGCUGACGAGUGGCGAACGGGAGAGUAAUGCAUCGGAACGUGCCCGGUCGUGGGGGAUAACGCAGCGAAAGCUGCGCUAAUACCGCAUACGAUCUGAGGAUGAAGGCGGGGGACCGUAAGGCCUCGCGCGAUCGGAGCGGCCGAUGUCAGAUGAGGUUGGUGGUGGGGUAAAGGCACAACAAGCCAACGACCUGUAGCUGGUCUGAGAGGACGGACAGCCACACUGGGACUGAGACACGGCCCAGACUCCUACGGGAGGCAGCAGUGGGGAAUUUUGGACAAUGGGCGAAAGCCUGAUCCAGCAAUGCCGCGUGCAGGAAGAAGGCCUUCGGGUUGUAAACUGCUUUUGUACGGAGCGAAAAGGCUCUCUCUAAUACAGGGGGCUCAUGACGGUACCGUAAGAAUAAGCACCGGCUAACUACGUGCCAGCCGCCGCCGUAA